This 1952-nucleotide unclassified non-coding RNA is filed under the name Hevea brasiliensis (rubber tree). Lineage: Eukaryota; Viridiplantae; Streptophyta; Magnoliopsida; Malpighiales; Euphorbiaceae. The record is from RNAcentral.
GAAGAGGAAAACAGCAUCAAUUAAGACUCAGGCUGAGCUUCAACUAGGAUUAGUUCAGCCCCUUUACGUUUUGGUAUCUCUGACUACAAGCUAAAUCUUUUUGUUUCUCAAUAUGCAAAUGAGAAUGGAGGGGGUACAAAAGAGAGGGAGUUAACUUGAGAAACUAUAAAACUCUGUCUGCAAAAAAGUAACAAUUGAUCUUAUCAUGAAGAUCUAUCAUUCACUAUAAAUAAACAUAUUGUACCUCAGCCAAAACUCUAUAACAUCAAAAUAGUUAUUUCUAAUUAUUAGUUUCAUUUUGCCUUUCCUCCCUUCUUUGAUGAGCCGGCCUUGCUUCCCUUUACAGACUUCUUAUUAGGCUUGUUCUUUACUUUCAUAGGUUUCCCAUUUGCUUUUAACUUGCUUGAGGGUUUAGAAGACUUCCACUGCUGAUUCUUUCGAUUCUUCUCUUUCUUCACAGUAUACUUUGAAACAGCCUUAUCAAUGUUAAGUAUCUCGUGUGAAUUCUGUGAGAUUAUUUUGCUUAGAACUUUGUCGGUUUGCUCCUUCUCCUGCCUGCCCAUCCCUGAACUUUCCACGACUGGUAGAAACUUGCGAUGUUUUCCUUGCUUUUUAACAGGCUUUUCUCCUGGCAACUUCUUGUCAAAUUUCCCACCACUGGCAGUUGCAGUUGCAGCUAGUCCAGCUACAUUUCCUAGUUCAUCUUUUGCAACCUUUUUUGGUGCAGCCUGGGUUCCUGUUAUGGGCAAAGCUGUGGCUGCUAGCUGAAUGUGGCUGCAGAAAAGAGUAUUUAGCAAAUGUUACAUAAUGUAAUGAACUAUCAAAUAUGUCAAUGCAGUUGCUGAAAUGAGUCUUUAUUGGUUGCCUUUCUUCCUUCUGUUUAAGAGAACGCUGGAUAAUGACACACGGUUGCUUUUCUGCCUUCAGUUUGAGUGAAUACUGUAUAAAAACUCAAAAGAAUGCCUAAAAAUUGUGGUAUGACGAAGAUAAAUGCCAGGACAAGUAAGAAAAAUAAGAAAAUCACCUAUAUGCUAACAUGCUGAAGAAAUACUUUAAGAGAUAACGUAACAUUCUAAAUUACAUUUUUGCCACUACCUAGCAUUUAAUGAUUCCUGUAAACGAAGAGUUGAGAACAUUCCAACAUGCUUAGAUAAGUAUGUGAUAGCAAUUAUAAAUGUCAGUGACCCAUCAUGUUAUCAAACUCCAUGUACUAAUAAACAGUAUUCCAAGGCAAAAUAAUGAACAUGUUGAUUUAUAUGUCCUAGACAGUGACAAAUCAAAAGAAACAAAAAGAUUUGCUCUCACAUAGGGAUAAGUUUCAUUGCUUAUAAAAACAUUAAAUUGGAAUAAGGAAAUACAUGCUAAAUGAGAGAAAAAGUGAUAAAAGAUGAAAACCUCGGCAAGGCACCAGCUUUUGCUGCUUGUUUCAAGUUCUGCAACCGAUUCUUCUCUUGUUUUACUACUCUUUUCUUCUUCUCUGCUUUUCUCUUGGCAAAUGGAUCCUCCCCUGGCUCAUCAGUCAUCUUGGCCUCAAUGAUGGGAAUAUCUUCAUCGUCAUUAACACGAUCAUAUCCGUAACGACGUUUCCAAGUGCUGGUUUGUUCAUCCCAAACCACUUUAUCUUUCUUCUGUUUCUUUAUACCUUUCGCUUUGGCAAACAAUUCCCAUUUUGUAGGAGGUUUGGGCUUUGGCAAAUGCUUCUCUCUGGGCAAUUUCGUUGUUGGGGAAGGCAACUUGACAAGUGGACCAUCUACAUCUUCAGUUGAAGGUAAGUUGAAAAGACUGACUACAAUAGCUUGAACCAGAUCAGUGCCCUUUCUAACACAUUCCUCCACCAAGUCCUCCCUGGAAGAAGGGACAGAGGGGAAGUGGUGAUGAGGGUCAAAAGACAUCAGAUGGCCAAGGUCGACCUCGUAUUGCUGCUGUUCAGUAUCCAUGGGAGAUCGCUACUU